AUUGAACGCUGGCGGCAUGCCUUACACAUGCAAGUCGAACGGUAACGCGGGGGCAACCCUGGCGACGAGUGGCGAACGGGUGAGUAAUACAUCGGAACGUACCCAGUAGUGGGGGAUAGCUCGGCGAAAGCCGGAUUAAUACCGCAUACGACCUAUGGGUGAAAGCGGGGAUCGCAAGACCUCGCGCUAUUGGAGCGGCCGAUGUCGGAUUAGCUAGUUGGUGAGGUAAAGGCNCACCAAGGCUACGAUCCGUAGCUGGUCUGAGAGGACGACCAGCCACACUGGGACUGAGACACGGCCCAGACUCCUACGGGAGGCAGCAGUGGGGAAUUUUGGACAAUGGGCGCAAGCCUGAUCCAGCCAUGCCGCGUGUGUGAAGAAGGCCUCGGUGUAAGU
This 396-nucleotide ribosomal RNA is filed under the name uncultured bacterium. Its description in RNAcentral is "bacterial SSU rRNA". It matches the Rfam family "Bacterial small subunit ribosomal RNA", at positions 29 to 430 of the family's 1533-position model. The record is from RNAcentral.